GACGAACGCUGGCGGCGUGCUUAACACAUGCAAGUCGAACGGAAAGGCCCUGCUUUUGUGGGGUGCUCGAGUGGCGAACGGGUGAGUAACACGUGAGUAACCUGCCCUUGACUUUGGGAUAACUUCAGGAAACUGGGGCUACUACCGGAUAGCAGCUCCUGCUGCAUGGUGGGGGUUGGAACGUUUCGGCGGUUGGGGAUGGACUCGCGGCUUAUCAGCUUGUUGGUGGGGUAGUGGCUUACCAAGGCUUUGACGGGUAGCCGGCCUGAGAGGGUGACCGGCCACAAUGGGACUGAGAGACGGCCCAGACUCCUACGGGAGGCAGCAGUGGGGAAUAUUGCACAAUGGGCGGAAGCCUGAGGCAGCAACGCAGCGUGCGGGAAGACGGUCUUCGGGUUGUAAACCGCUUUCGCCUGUGACGAAGCGUGAGUGACGGUAAUGGGUAAAGAAGCACCGGCUAACUACGUG
RNAcentral lists this ribosomal RNA (468 nucleotides) under uncultured bacterium. Its description in RNAcentral is "partial 16S ribosomal RNA". It matches the Rfam family "Bacterial small subunit ribosomal RNA", at positions 28 to 507 of the family's 1533-position model. The record is from RNAcentral.